Molecule: ribosomal RNA, 433 nt
Filed under: uncultured bacterium
Lineage: Bacteria
Description: partial 16S ribosomal RNA
Rfam family: Bacterial small subunit ribosomal RNA
Source: RNAcentral
GACGAACGCUGGCGGCAUGCCUAACACAUGCAAGUCGAACGAGACCUUCGGGUCUAGUUGCGCACGGGGGCGUAACGCGUGGGAAGCUGCCCUUGGGUUCGGAAUCACUCCCCGAAGGGGGUGCUAAUACCGGAUAAUGUCUUACGACCAAAGAUUUAUCGCCUUUGGGUGGGCGCGCGUGGGAUUAGCUAGUUGGUAGGGUAAAAGCCUACCAAGGCGACGAUGCAUGGCUGGUCAGAGAGGAUGAUCAGCUACACUGGGACUGCGACACGGCCCAGACUCGUACGGGAGGCAGCAGUGGGGAAUAUUGUACAAUGGGCGAAAGGCUGACCCAGCCAUGCCGCGUGAGUGGUGAAGGCCUUAGGGUAGUAAAGCUCUUUUACACGGGAGGAUAAUGACAGUACCGGGAGAAUAAGCACCGGCUAACUCCGUG